Molecule: long non-coding RNA, 908 nt
Organism: Girardinichthys multiradiatus
Lineage: Eukaryota; Metazoa; Chordata; Actinopteri; Cyprinodontiformes; Goodeidae
Exons: 3
Source: RefSeq, a predicted model, not a curated record
CACAGAAGAGAAUUCACAAGAGGCAUAAUCCAAAGAGCUCGGGGGAAUAACGUGACAAACAUGGCAUGCAUGAAGUGAGGAACCAGGGGAGAAUAAUUAGAACAACCAGGUAUAUAAGCAGGUGGAGGAGAGUGGAUGAAUGAGAGGAAGCCAAGGUAAUCAGAGGAGAAGUAGGAACAGGUGCGGGAACUGGCUGUGGAGACUGAGGGAAUGAAUGGUUACUAUGGUGACCGGACUGGGAGACGCAGGGACACUACCGAAACUAAACUAUAAAAUAAACCAAGGGGAAACAUGAUCUAAAGAUAAACUAACAUUAACUCACAAGGAGGAGCAGGGUGUCGGGGUCUGGGAGAUUCUGUUUGUUUUUUGCCUGCUAUUUACAUUGCUUUACCGCUAGAUGCUGCCUGAGCUCCGGGGGUGAGAGGGAGACAGGUGUUUACAAUCUUCGUCAUUUGGAGGAGUAUAAGAGAGCAGUCUGCCAGCACUUCUAUGCCUGAGUGUUUGCCAACUUGGGCGCUGCUUCCAGUCCUGCUCUGAUUCAACUGUUUCCUCAUCUGACUUCCCAAGCCUCAAGAUCUCAAGAAAGCCUCUGGAUUCCUUUCCAGUUGGCAGUCACUAGCUCUCCUACCUCCAAGCCUUAAGUCAAGCGAGCCCUGUCCACACUCCAACGUGUCUCACCUCCAAGCUCGGCAUCUGAAAUCCACUUCCGCAGUGAGUGUGCUGUUUCCAGAGAAACCCCACCACUGUACACAGACUGUAGGAUCAAGAAGGAAAAUUAUUCCAGGCAAAUCUCCGUGCUCAUCUUCAGACCCUGCUUCGACUCCUCCUUGCCAAAUUUCCCAUCCAAACUCAUGGAUGUGUUUCCAGUCCCGGUUCCAGUUCACAAUCUCCAUCUGUGAAAAUAAAAU